This 148-nucleotide non-coding RNA is filed under the name Nomascus leucogenys (northern white-cheeked gibbon). Lineage: Eukaryota; Metazoa; Chordata; Mammalia; Primates; Hylobatidae. The record is from Rfam by way of RNAcentral.
GCCGGGCGUGGUGGCGGGCGCCUGUAGUCCCAGCUACUCGGGAGGCUGUGGCAGGAGAAUUGCUUGAACCCAGGAGGUGGAGAUUGCAGUGAGCUAAGAUCACGCCACUGCACUCCAGCCUGGGUGACAGGGCAAGACUCUGUCUCAA